This 1100-nucleotide long non-coding RNA is filed under the name Leguminivora glycinivorella. RNAcentral describes it as "uncharacterized LOC125232542". The record is from RNAcentral. Lineage: Eukaryota; Metazoa; Arthropoda; Insecta; Lepidoptera; Tortricidae.
UUUAUUAUUCUACAAUUCGUUCCACAUAGUCUGCAGAGCCCCAUUCAUACUGGAUAAAUUUUAGUCGCAUCCGGUCCGUCAAAUGUCUUAUGAUCUAUAGAGCCCUUUUGAUUUUUCUAUGGCAACAUUUGCUAUGCUGACGUCAUUGCCACGUCAUUACUGUCAGUCAGACAGAAAUAAAAGAAAAAUGGAUGCCGUUGAGACGUACACGCAUUAUUUGGAACUGAAAAUUACUUAAUUUAUCGACCUGCUGGCUUGUAUUUGUUAUAAAUCAUAAAAAAACCUGUGACGCCAGUGGAACUACGUGGUUUUCUUUCGUGAUGAUUUGAUGAUACCUCAAUGGAAUUGAGCCAAGUUUUUGCCGUAUUGGGUGCUAGAUGCCCCUUGGAGUUAAGCCCCAGUGCCACUAUACUACCUUACCAGUUAUGUGUGGGUGUUGUAGUCCUAAGACACCCCGGAGGUACAAAGGGCCUUCACAAGCUCAUGCCACGCCUUCCUAUCUUCAGCAACCCUCGUGACCUCGCUCCACCAGCUCAAACCUGCCAGUCGCAGCUCAUUUUUCGACGGACCGCUUCCAUGAGUAGACAAGGCACCGACGAUCACGGCUUGCAUCACCUGUACUGCUUCGUAAUAUAGUAUGCUGAACAUCGCUGAACGCUGCCAUUAUACUAGGAACAACGUCCUGCCCCUUCCCCGGCUGUGUACAAAUUGGAACUCCAUUUGCAUGCCCCUUUGACUGAGCAACGUGUGUGUGUGCUCGAAACACAUUCACUUGCAACAAAAUGACUCCCAGGCUGACCUGGCUCAGCUCCUGUAUGUCUGAUCUACAUCCACAAUGGUUUCAACGAAAGAGUGAAAAUUCUUCUCCAUGUACAAUCACUUCCAACGCCUACACUGACUACACCAAAUAUGAUCAUCACUCAACGUGUCUCACAUCAAGAUACUUUUCAAAAGUCAUCGAGAAGAGGAACAUAAUAUCUUUUCCCAUGGUUUCCUGAAUAAUCCUAACUAAAAGUUACUUCUCUAUUCUAUUUUUCCUGCAUGGAGUGGCGCUUUUCCGUUUAAUGGAAACGAUAUGAACAUAUAUGCUCUGGGUUUUU